This 241-nucleotide long non-coding RNA is filed under the name Lathyrus oleraceus (garden pea). Its description in RNAcentral is "Pisum sativum (pea) long non-coding RNA (PSAT_LNC008855)". Lineage: Eukaryota; Viridiplantae; Streptophyta; Magnoliopsida; Fabales; Fabaceae. The record is from RNAcentral.
UAUAAAAAUAGUAAUAUAAUAUAUAUAAUAAAUUAAUGUAAGACUAAUAUAAAAAAAAGAAAAACAAUAUAAUAUAUAUAAUAAAUUUAAGUAAGACUAAUGUAUAAUAUAUAUAAAAAAACUAUAAAAGAGAAAAGAAAAAAAAUAGUACAAUAAAAGUGGUAAUAUAUAAUAUGAUGAAGUUGGUGUGUGUGUGCGUGUUAUUGUCGUAUGGGAGAUAAGGGGUUGGUUGUUAGGUUGU